CCUACGGGUGGCAGCAGUGGGGAAUAUUGCACAAUGGGGGAAACCCUGAUGCAGCGACGCCGCGUGAGUGAAGAAGUAAUUCGUUAUGUAAAGCUCUAUCAGCAGGGAAGAAAAUGACGGUACCUGAGUAAGAAGCCCCGGCUAACUCCGUGCCAGCAGCCGCGGUAAUACGUAGGGGGCAAGCGUUAUCCGGAUUUACUGGGUGUAAAGGGAGCGUAGACGGCAGUGCAAGGCUGGAGUGAAAGGCGGGGGCUCAACCCCCGGACGGCUCUGGAAACUGUACGGCUGGAGUGCAGGAGAGGUGAGUGGAAUUCCAGGUGGAGCGGUGAAAUGCGUAGAGAUUAGGAGGAACAAGAGUGGAGAAGGCGGCUUACGGGACGGUAACUGACGUUGAGGCGCGAAGGCGUGGGGAGCAAAAAGGAUUAGAUACCCGAGUAGUC
This 440-nucleotide ribosomal RNA is filed under the name uncultured bacterium. Its description in RNAcentral is "partial 16S ribosomal RNA". It matches the Rfam family "Bacterial small subunit ribosomal RNA", at positions 338 to 795 of the family's 1533-position model. The record is from RNAcentral.